RNAcentral lists this ribosomal RNA (253 nucleotides) under uncultured bacterium. RNAcentral describes it as "partial 16S ribosomal RNA". It matches the Rfam family "Bacterial small subunit ribosomal RNA", at positions 524 to 776 of the family's 1533-position model. The record is from RNAcentral.
UACGGGGGGGGUAAGCGUUGUUCGGAAUUACUGGGCGUAAAGGGCUCGUAGGUGGCCAACUAAGUCAGACGUGAAAUCCCUCGGCUUAACCGGGGAACUGCGUCUGAUACUGGAUGGCUUGAGAUUGGGAGAGGGAUGCGGAAUUCCAGGUGUAGCGGUGAAAUGCGUAGAUAUCUGGAGGAACACCGGUGGCGAAGGCGGCAUCCUGGACCAACACUGACGCUGAGGUGCGAAAGCGUGGGGAGCAAACAGG